GAGAACACACAUUAUAUAGUAAUGGAAGCUCCAGUGAGUUUUGGUUGUAGAAGAUCUGGUUGAGGAAAAUAGAAAGUAAGUUGGAUUUAAGGAAUUCUAGUUGAAUGGUUAUGUAAUUGGAGUAAAGACAUAGACCUCAGUUGGUCUCUAUCAGGCGCCAUAUCAACAUUGUACUUGUACUGCUUGACAAAGGCCUCGCCCAAGUCGUUGAAAGUACAAAC
RNAcentral lists this long non-coding RNA (221 nucleotides) under Lathyrus oleraceus (garden pea). RNAcentral's name for it is "Pisum sativum (pea) long non-coding RNA (PSAT_LNC026535)". Lineage: Eukaryota; Viridiplantae; Streptophyta; Magnoliopsida; Fabales; Fabaceae. The record is from RNAcentral.